RNAcentral lists this long non-coding RNA (948 nucleotides) under Cricetulus griseus (Chinese hamster). Its description in RNAcentral is "lncRNA (ENSCGRG00015042616.1)". The record is from RNAcentral. Lineage: Eukaryota; Metazoa; Chordata; Mammalia; Rodentia; Cricetidae.
CAAGGAUCUGUAACCCCAUCUCCAGGGGAUCCAACAGGCAAACACAUGGUACACAUACAUGCAUGCAGAUAAAACUAAUACACAUUAAGUAAUUCAAUCUAAAUUUUUUAAAUGUUUAAAAUUCUAUUUCACUCCAUUCUAAACAUUUUCUAAUGGUAUGUCACUGUGAUUUGAUUUUGACCUUUGUCCCCUUUCCAGCCUCAUCGGGACAGUGAUAUUUAUUUUUUAAAAAAUCCUCCAUGAACUUCACUUAAUGAGAUUUGAUGUGUGUGUGCAGCCUUAAUACUUCCCUCCAUGCAAAACAAUAAACACACUCACCAACCUCUGUACUCUCUACCCCACAUGCUCCAUUCUGUUCAACCCACAAGAAGCCACAGGUCUUCCUGUCACUAAAGCCUAUUGUGUGCUUUUAGAAUUUUGUAUGAACACAAUCAGAUUGGAGCUUCCAUUUGGCAACUCGUUCUCUGGUCUGAAGCACUUCCAUUAAUGUUCAUGGCAGGUGUCUACUUCCCAAGACAAGGACAGAGCCACAGUGUACUUAUUACAUCAGGAGAUUAAUGAUCAUGUCAGUCAGUUUACAGAAGUUGAUUUGCUGUGCUCCAAGUGGUGCGUGCAGAAAUGCUGACGUCACAGGGAAGGAUGCAUCGUGUAUCUGUGAUGUGAAUGCUGACUCCUGCUUUACAAAAUCCACACAAUGCUGGGGAAUGCUUAGAAAAUGUCAAAAGAAUUUCAAAAAAACAAACAAACAAAAAAACCAAAACAGUCAUACAAGUUAGGUAGUUACAGUCAUUUUCCACCAGUUUUGUUGGUUUAUAUGUAUAUGCAUUUAUGUGUAGGUGAUUGUUGAUAAAUAUACUUAUUGCAAGCAUUUUUAAAGUACUGGAUUUUCUUAAUUUAAAAUAUGUAUAAUAUAAUAAGUGUGCACAUACAUUAUGUGUAUAGACAAAA